RNAcentral lists this unclassified non-coding RNA (390 nucleotides) under soil metagenome. RNAcentral describes it as "partial contains 5.8S ribosomal RNA, internal transcribed spacer 2, and large subunit ribosomal RNA". The stretch from base 1 to 122 matches the Rfam family "5.8S ribosomal RNA", at positions 35 to 154 of the family's 154-position model. The record is from RNAcentral.
GAUGAAGAACGUAGCGAAAUGCGAUACUUGGUGUGAAUUGCAGAAUCCCGUGAACCAUCAAGUCUUUGAACGCAAGUUGCGCCCGAAGCCAUUAGGCCGAGGGCACGCCUGCCUGGGCGUCACACGUCGUUGCCCCCCCAUCUAAUCCUUCGGGAUUGCGGGGGGCGGAUGAUGGCCUCCCGUGCGCCUCGUCGCGCGGUUGGCAUAAAUGCCAAGUCCUCGGCGACGCACGCCACGACAAUCGGUGGUUGCGAAACCUCGGUUGCCCGUUGUGUGCGGUCGUCGCGCAUCGAGGGCUCGAAAAAAUUGCCGGGCUCCGGCUCGACUUUCAACGCGACCCCAGGUCAGGCGGGGUUACCCGCUGAAUUUAAGCAUAUCAAUAAGCGGAGA